GUUGGUGAACCAGCGGAGGGAUCAUUACCGAGUACUAUAACUCAUAACCCUUUGUGAACCUUUAUACCUGUUGCUUCGGCGGCGCGCCCUCCGGGGCGUGCCCGCCGGUAUCAUCAGAAUCUCUGUUUGAACCCGACGAUACAUCUGAGUGUUCUAAGCGAACUGUUAAAACUUUCAACAACGGAUCUCUUGGCUCCA
RNAcentral lists this unclassified non-coding RNA (198 nucleotides) under rhizosphere metagenome. Its description in RNAcentral is "partial ribosomal RNA internal transcribed spacer region". The record is from RNAcentral.